CCUCUUUGUACCUCUGGUAGAAUUCGGCUGUGAAUCCAUGUGGUCCUGGACUUUUUUUGGUUGGUAAGCUAUUAAUUAUUGCCUCAAUUUCAGAUCCUGUUAUGGGUCUAUUCAGAGAUUCAACUUCUUCCUGGUUUAGUCUUGGGAGGAUGUAUGUGUCGAGGAAUUUAUCCAUUUCUUCUAGAUUUUCUAGUUUAUUUGCGUAGAGGUGUUUACAGUAAUCUCUGAUGGUAGUUUGUAUUUCUGUGGGAUCGGUGGUGAUAUCCCCCUUAUCAUUUUUUAUUGCAUCUAUUUGAUUCUUCUCUCUUUUCUUCUUUAUUAGUCUUGCCAGCAGUCUAUCAAUUUUGUUGAUCUUUAUUUUUUAUUUUAAGUCCUGGGACACAUGUGCAGAAUGUGCAGGUUUGUUACAUAGUAUACAUGUGCCAUGGUGGUUUGCUGCACCUAUCAACCCGUCAUCUAGGCUUUAAGCCCUGCAUGCAUUAGGUAUUUGUCCUAAUGCUCUCUCUCUCCUUGCCCUCAACCCCUUGACAGGCCCUGGUGUGUGAUGUUCCCCUCCCUGUGUCUAUGUAUUCUCAUUGUUCAACUCCCACUUAUGAGGGAGAACAUGGGGUGUUUGGUUUUCUGUUCCUGUUAGUUUGCUGAGCAUGAUGGCUUCCAGCUUCAUCCAUGUCCCUGCAAAGGACAUGAACUCAUUUCUUUUUAUGGCUGCAUAGUAUUCCAUGGUGCCACAUUUUCUUUAUCCAGUCUAUGAUUGAUGGGUAUUUGGGUAAAUAAUUUCGUUAUUUACCCAGUAGUCAUUCAGGAGCAGGCUGUUCAAUUUCCAUGUAGGUGUGCAGUUUUGAGUGAGUUUUUUAAUCCUGAGUUCUAAUUUGAUUGCACUGUGGUUUGAGAGACUAUUUGUUAUGAUUUCUGUUCGUUUGCAUUUGCUGAGGAGUGCUUCAGUUCAAUGGGUUAGAACAUGCUCCUUUAGCUCAGAGGAGUUUGUUAUUAUCCACCUCCUGAAGCCUACUUCUGCUACUGGAGUACAAAAAAAUACUCCUGCAGCUAGCUCAGUGUCUGCUCAAACAGUUGCCCAGUUUUGUGCUUGAAACCCAGGGCCCUGGUGGUGUAGGCAUAUGAGAGAAUCUCCUGAUCUGCAGAUUGAAAAAACCGUGGGAAAAGUGUAGUAAUUCAGUGGGGUAGCACAGUCCCUCACGGCUUCCCUUGGAUGGGGGGAGGGAGGUCCCCGGCUCCUUGUACUUCCCGGGUGAAGCAAUGCCCUACCCUGCUUGUGCUUGCCCUCCGUGGGUUCCAUUUUAGUGAUUGCAGUGUGCCUAAAGCAUAUAAGGAUAAACAAUGAAUUAAUAAACAGUUGGGACAGCAGGAUUAAUAAUCUGAAAAUUGUAAAAUAGGAAGGGUUUUUGAAAACAACAGUAAAGCUUGAGGAACUCAGUUUUACCUGCCUUUUUAUCUUACUUCUCACUCAAUGUAGAUAUUUAAAAAAUAGUACAAAACAUACAUAAUUUCAGAAUAUACAUUUUAAAAUAUUUUAUUCCAGAAAUUUAUACUUUUUCAUUUUCAAGAAUAAAACUCAGGAAUGGAAACAGUUCUCAAAAAGUUAUGUAAAAUCACCAAUACUCUUCUUGAAAUUCCCUACCCCACCACUGUGUCCUUCCUGUUAGUAGAUGAUCCUGUCUUCUACUUUACAAAGAAAAUUGAAGCUUUUAGGUAAACUCCUUUGAAUUUUACUCCCAAAUCUACAUAGAUUCUCUAUAUCUGUGUCCUUCCUGACUUUAAGUCCGCUUGUCUUGGAAAAAGAGGUGGCUUCAGAAUCUUUUUUUUUUUUUUUUGAGACAGAGUUUUGUUCUUGUUGCCCAGGCUGGAGUGCAAUGGCACGAUCUCGGCUCACUGCAACCUCUGCCUCAUGGGUUCAAGCGAUUCUCCUGCCUCAGCCUCCCUAGUAGGUGGGAUUACAGGCGCCCACCACCACGCCCAGUUAAUUUUUUUUUGUAUUUUUAGUAGAGAUGGGGUUUCACUAUGUUGGCCAGGCUGGUCUCGAACUCCUGACCUCAGGCGAUCCACCCGCUUUGGCCUCCCAAAGUGCUGGGAUUAUAGGCGUGAGCCACUGCGCCCGGCCCAGAUUCUUAUAUAUUCAAUUGUGUAUGGUUCAAUUCUCUUUAGAUGUCUCACAGGAACCCCAAAUUCAAUAUGACCCCAAAUGGUAACUACUUCUAAAUCUUUUACUGAAUUUCUUAUUUUGGUGACUGUCACUAUCACUCACCCAACUACCCAACUCAGAAACAAAGCAGUCAUCCUUUACUCUUUCUUUUCUUCCAAACUCCAUACCUGAUCAGGAAUCAAAUCCUGUAAUACUGUAUCUGUAAUAUCUCUUAUAUAUGUCCCUUCCUCUCAAGUCUCAUUGAUAAUGAUUACCUCUGUCUUUUAUUGUCUUUUGCCUGGACAGUGACAAUUUGCUUCCUAACUGCUCUCCCUGACUCCUCUCUUGCACACACACCUUCAUCCAUUGAUCCAUUCUCUAUAUUGCUGAAGCAAUCUUUCUUUCUUUUUUCUUUUUUUUUUUUUUUUGGAGACAGGGUGUUGAUUUGUCACCCAGGCUGGAUUACAUGGUACAAUUGUAGCUCACUGCAGCCUCAACCUCCUGGGCUCAAGUGAUCCUCCCACCUCAGUCCCCCAAGUAGCUGAGACUACAGGUAUGUGCCACCACACCUGGUUAACUUUUUUUUUUUUACUUUUUUUUUUUUUUUUUUGUAGAGAUGCAGUUUCACCAUGUUGCCCAGGCUGGUCUCAAACUCUCGAGCUCAGGCAAUCCACCUGCCUCAGCCCCCUAAAGUGAUGGAUUACAGUCAUGAUCCACUGCACCCAGCAAAUCUUUCUAAUUUGCACAUCUAAUAACAUAGUCUGUAGCUUAAAAUCCUGGAAUGACUCCAUACUCCACAGAAUAAAAUUCACACUCCUUUAUUUGGUAGUCAAGGCCCUCUAUGAUUUGUCCCCUGUGUUAGUUCCUGUUGUUGCUGUAACAAUUUACCAAAAACUUGGUGGUUUAAAACAAUACAGCUUUUUUCUCUUAAUGGUUCUGGAGAGUGAAAGUCUGAAAUCAGUUUUAUUGGGCUAAAGUCAAGGUGUCAGCAGGGCUGGUUUCUUCAGGAGGCUCUGGCAGAGAAUCUGUUCCCUUGCCUUCCACUUCUAGAGGCCACUUAUAUUCUUUGGCUCAUGUCCCUUCUUCCAUCCUCAAAGCUCUCAUUGUAGCAUCUUGUGUCCAUUGUCACACUGCCUUCUACUUUUUCUGUCAUCAAGUCUCCCUCUUAAGGACAGUUGUAAUUACAUUUAAGGUAUACUUAGAUAAGGAUAAUCUCCCCAUCUCAGGGUUCCUAAUCAUAUCUCCAAAGUCACUUUUCCCAUAUAAGUUAACAUUCACAGGUUCUGAG
This 3425-nucleotide long non-coding RNA is filed under the name Homo sapiens (human). RNAcentral's name for it is "non-protein coding lnc-MED13-4:2". Lineage: Eukaryota; Metazoa; Chordata; Mammalia; Primates; Hominidae. The record is from RNAcentral.